CAAGUACUCAAGAAAAUAAUAAAAAUUGAACCAGUGUAAAUACCAUAAAAUAAACAUAAGAAGUUAAGCACUAUAUUUCUUGUUUACAAAAAAUAUAUGAUAUACAAAAUGAGAAGUGUGUCUACAUUACUGAACCAUUAAAAUGUAAUAAAACAAUCUAGAAUUGCCACAGUGAGACUUUUUAAGGCAGACACUAUCAACUUGAAAACAAAUUAC
RNAcentral lists this long non-coding RNA (216 nucleotides) under Mytilus galloprovincialis (Mediterranean mussel). Lineage: Eukaryota; Metazoa; Mollusca; Bivalvia; Mytilida; Mytilidae. The record is from RNAcentral.